CCCAUGGACCGAUAUGUGGUUAAACGCCCCCAGGGUGAGGCGGAGGGAGGCGGGAAGAGGCCGCGGCCGGCGGAGCCCCCCUCAGGGCAGCCCCCCUGGCAGGAGAUCCGAGCUGAGGGCCUGAACUGCGACUACCGGCUCCUCUUCGGCAAGGCCGAGGCUGACGAGAUCUUCCAGCGGCUGGAGGAGGAGGUGGAGUACUUCGAAGGUGAAAUGACAAAAUUGCACGUGUUUGGCAAAUGGCAUGACAUCCCAAGGAAACAGGUAACCUAUGGAGACCCUGAGUUAACAUACACUUACUCGGGCGUUACCUUUUCUCCGAAGCCGUGGAUCCCAGUUCUCAACCGUAUCAGAGACCGCAUCGCUUCGGACACUGGACAUACUUUUAACUUUGUUCUUAUUAACAGAUAUAAAGACGGUGGGGACCACAUCGGUGAGCAUCGAGAUGAUGAGAGAGAACUGGUUCCACGCAGCCCUAUUGCCUCUGUGUCCUUUGGAGCUUGCAGGGACUUUGUUUUCAGGCACUGUGAUUCCAGAGGGAAAAAUGCAACGCGCCACAUGAAGCCCAUCAAACUGCAGCUGGCCCACGGCAGCCUGCUGAUGAUGAAGUACCCCACCAACGUGUAUUGGUACCACAGCCUGCCCGUCCGCAAGAGGGUACUUGCCCCAAGAAUCAACCUCACAUUUCGGAAAGUGAUGACUGUAGCCAAGAAGUGAAUUAUACACCAAUCAAGCACCUGGUUGUUUUUUUUUUAACUCCGAAAAUAGGAGCUUUCUUCCCUGACAUAACUCUCAAUUUCUCAUUCAAACGCUGACUUUGAUGAUCCAAGCUACCAGAUGAGCAAAUUAAACCAGGAGAGGAGAUAGUGUACUUAGUAAUUUGUUAAUAAAGACUGUGACUACUGAUCUUAAAUGCCAAGAAUACUUUGUGAAAUGCUGCUGUAGUCCUGCUGGUACAUCUUUUAAAUGAGUAAUACCCUUGUUUUGCUCAGGAGGAAGUUUGUUCUCAACUGAUCUUAAUCUAACCAGUUUUCCGAAAAGAUCAAAAUACUCUAUAUCCCUCAGAUAGCAGUGAAGGAGUUUGUAAACACUGUAGAGUACAAGAUGCAGUCAUUUAGAGUGAGCCUGGAAGCUGAUGCUGUUCAACAGGUCCUUUGUACAGAAACCAGGGAGCAGAAGAUGGCCUUUUGGGGAAAGACCGGGUUGGACCAUUUAUAUAGACAACGCAGCGUGAAAGGCUGUAAUUUCUGAGAAUGUCUGUUUUUCUAAAUAAUCAUCCCUAGGGGUUCCAUCCUGACUACCUGAGAGACAUCUCCUUCCAUGCUGGCAGUGAAUCCUGCUGAAAUGAGGAAAGACUGAAGUCACCAUCAGGCGUUGAGGAGCCAAGCACUGAAUCCCUCUUGCCUGAAUCUGAAAUCAAAGGGAAAAAAAUAAAGCCAGUUGGUUACCUGCUGUCAGCACGCUGCAGGCAACAGUGACUGUCUAUCAAGAACUAUGGUUCUCUUCAUCUCCCUGCUCUGGAUAACUGGACUGCAAUUUAAUUUGGCUUUGCGUGUGCAAGCUCAAUGCUGCAUGUUGAAUGAAUAGCUAUUCCUAAACCACUACCUGUCAUUAUAGAACAGCUUUGAAGACACAGGGAAAAUAUCUUCAGUUUCUAAACAGCCAUUUUAUACCCCACACACUUGGGAAUCUAGGCAGACUGCAGAAAUUUCUCCUGAUAAUGAAAUAACAUCAGUAAAGAAGUCACCUCCAGCGAAUGCACAUCGAACAAAUGUGUCACACGUGGUUGCCGAUCCCGUUCAUCCUCUAACGAAGAGGUAAGGACAUGAAAUAGCUCAUGGGCAUCCUAUUAAAUAGAGGCAUGAGACUUAGAGGAAGCAGAAACAAAAGACAUUUUACAUUAAUAGUAGUCAUUUGUGCACCUGCUGCAGUUUUGCCAAAAAAGCUUUUUCUAUAAAGCUGAACUUCCAUUAUUAAAAAUAUUCUGGGCCGUAUAAAAUCUCUCAAAAGAGACUAAUACUUGGAGAAAGAAAGAAAGAAAAAUUAAUGGACAAAUGCCUGCUUUCCUUAAUUUCAAUAAAAGUGCAUUUGAGAUCUAUGCUGUUUGCUUUGGCUCUGAGAUAUACAAGAUAGACCCAUGUUUUAUGAGUGAGAUAAUUGGUCGAGGUCAUUGGC
Calidris pugnax (ruff) is the source of this 2175-nucleotide RNA transcript. It is a transcript of the gene named alkB homolog 2, alpha-ketoglutarate-dependent dioxygenase, with no coding region annotated. The transcript has 6 exons. Lineage: Eukaryota; Metazoa; Chordata; Aves; Charadriiformes; Scolopacidae. The record is from RefSeq and is a predicted model, not a curated record.